Molecule: long non-coding RNA, 220 nt
Filed under: Bos mutus (wild yak)
Lineage: Eukaryota; Metazoa; Chordata; Mammalia; Artiodactyla; Bovidae
Description: lncRNA (ENSBMUG00000021102.1)
Source: RNAcentral
CCCACAACCUUUGCAACCUCAAUGGCAUCACAGUUUCCUGUACAUGUACUUUCAAAGUUUUAAAUCUUGCCUAAUCUGUUGCAUUGACUAGCACCUCCAGACAAUAUUAAAUCAUUGGAGGAGAUGGGUGGACUGUGAGCAUCCCUCCACUCCAGCUCAGUUUAGUUUCUUCACUUUGACGGUUCUGCCGAAGACUCAGAAAACCAGCAUGUUUUACUCA